GGAGGCGUCGCAUAGCGGUCUAGUGCACUGUCUUGGAAAGGCAGCAAGGUGAAAGCCUUCGCGAGUUCGAAUCUCGCCGCCUCCG
This 85-nucleotide transfer RNA is filed under the name Candidatus Lloydbacteria bacterium. Its description in RNAcentral is "tRNA-Ser". It matches the Rfam family "tRNA". From Rfam's summary of the family: Transfer RNA (tRNA) molecules are approximately 80 nucleotides in length. Lineage: Bacteria; Candidatus Lloydiibacteriota. The record is from RNAcentral.